RNAcentral lists this ribosomal RNA (440 nucleotides) under uncultured bacterium. RNAcentral's name for it is "partial 16S ribosomal RNA". It matches the Rfam family "Bacterial small subunit ribosomal RNA", at positions 338 to 795 of the family's 1533-position model. The record is from RNAcentral.
CCUACGGGAGGCAGCAGUGGGGGAUAUUGGACAAUGGGGGAAACCCUGAUCCAGCGAUGCCGCGUGAGGGAAGAAGGUUUUCGGAUUGUAAACCUCUGUGGAGGGGGACGAUAAUGACGGUACCCCUUUAGGAAGCCACGGCUAACUACGUGCCAGCAGCCGCGGUAAUACGUAGGUGGCGAGCGUUGUCCGGAAUUACUGGGUGUAAAGGGAGUGUAGGCGGGAAAGCAAGUCAGAAGUGAAAACUAUGGGCUUAACCCAUAGCCUGCUUUUGAAACUGUUUUUCUUGAGUGAAGUAGAGGCAAGCGGAAUUCCUAGUGUAGCGGUGAAAUGCGUAGAUAUUAGGAGGAACACCAGUGGCGAAGGCGGCUUGCUGGGCUUUUACUGACGCUGAGGCUCGAAAGCGUGGGGAGCAAACAGGAUUAGAUACCCCAGUAGUC